RNAcentral lists this ribosomal RNA (690 nucleotides) under uncultured Acidobacteriota bacterium. RNAcentral describes it as "bacterial SSU rRNA". It matches the Rfam family "Bacterial small subunit ribosomal RNA", at positions 15 to 717 of the family's 1533-position model. The record is from RNAcentral. Lineage: Bacteria; Pseudomonadati; Acidobacteriota.
GAUCCUGGCUCAGAAUCAACGCUGGCGGCGUGCCUCAGACAUGCAAGUCGAACGAUUAAGACUCCCUUCGGGGAGUGCAUAAAGUGGCGCACGGGUGAGUAACACGUAAGUAAUCUACCUUCGAGUGGGGAAUAACGUUCGGAAACGGACGCUAAUACCGCAUAACGCAGCGGCAUCGCAAGAUGACAGUUGUUAAAGGAGCAAUCCGCUUGAAGAGGAGCUUGCGGCAGAUUAGCUAGUUGGUAAGGUAACGGCUUACCAAGGCUACGAUCUGUAUCCGGUCUAAGAGGGCGGUCGGACACACUGACACUGAAUAACGGGUCAGACUCCUACGGGAGGCAGCAGUCGGGAAUUUUGGGCAAUGGGCGAAAGCCUGACCCAGCAACGCCGCGUGAAGGAUGAAGUAUUUCGGUAUGUAAACUUCGAAAGAAUAGGAAGAAUAAAUGACGGUACUAUUUAUAAGCUCCGGCUAACUACGUGCCAGCAGCCGCGGUAAUACGUAGGGAGCAAGCGUUGUUCGGAUUUACUGGGCGUAAAGGGCGCGUAGGCGGCGUUGUAAGUCACUUGUGAAAUCUCUGAGCUUAACUCAGAACGGCCAAGUGAUACUGCAGUGCUAGAGUGCAGAAGGGGCAAUCGGAAUUCUUGGUGUAGCGGUGAAAUGCGUAGAUAUCAAGAGGAACACCUGAGGUG